CUUUGUAUGAAACAGGAAACAGUGCAGUAUUAGGGGCUGUACUCCUGUUUACAAAUAAGAAAUGUUUAUGUUGGGGAAAGGAUGUGAUCUUCGGAGACUAUAUAUUGAAAACAUUGUAACAGAAGUUUGCACCUCGGGUGAAGACUUUCUCAUCUUUAUGUUCUGUUUUUUAUUCUGGGAAAAAAAGGGUUAUGAUCAGGAAAGAGCUUUAGCAUUAGCUAGAGCAUUAAUAUUAGGAAAGUUUUCCAGUGCCGGAGAGACCGAAACGGGAAGACCUGAAAAUGGACGCCGAUGUAGUAUUGUUUCUGCACCAUACGCUGGGAAGAGUGUGAAUGAAUCACAAAACCAUUUCUUCCUCAUAAAGACUACAUUGAGAUGUAUAUUGCUUUCUGUUCCUGAAAGCAUUAAGUUGACUGAAACUUCUAGAAUAAUAGUGACAUAUAGUGACACAGUCAAAUCUGAAAGCCUCCAAACCAUUAUGCUUCCAGAAUUCCAUCUUCCAACAUACAAAGUAUGCAGUGACUCUUUAUCUGGUUUUCCCAAAAUAUAUUGUGUUUUCUUCACUGGGCCGAGCAGAUGUUUGCCUGAGGUUCAAAUACCGGAAAAUAAGUGAAAAUUAUGCACAGGUCUGUUUUAUUUUUCUUAACAGGACAACAGGUUAUAUGGCAAGUCUACUCACUUCAUCUGUUGACGAUUUACUGUGGUCACAGCUGCCAUAUGCGUCAUGGUGACUCCCUUGGUUUGUCCAGUUGUAUUCAAGGCAAAACAUGACCAGCAGCUUGUAACUAUAAAUAUAUAUUUUGAGGAUGGUUCCCAAGAGGCUUGAGAUUAUUUAUAUGACACAGAUACAUUAACCAUAUCAUUUUUGGUAAUCAUGUCAUUGUAAAGAUCUCAAGACAAAAGCUGAAUCAGAUCCACAUAAUCCAGGCCAAAUAUUUAUGAAUUUUAAAAGAGGUUCUGGAAACAGUCAAUGCUGACACAAUCUACAAAGAGGUUUCUGUCAGAACUGCUCCUUUUGGCCAAACUAAACACUGGGAUGAGCAGACACAGUUUUGUGUUCUGCUUAUUUUGGAAUACAAACAAUAUGCUUAGGUCACAUCCCAAAGAGCUAAUAUAUGUGCAAAUAUUAUUUAAAUUUGCUCGUCAAAUAGGCUACAAGCUUAUCAAAUAGCUACAUUUAUGCUCUUACACCUAAGGGUUUUGAAGAAGUUGUUUUACUUUAAGAAUUUGACCUUUUUGUUACAUACGACUAUGAAAGUGUUAAAGUUUCCUUUCGAAGUGGAACUUCAACGCUGCGUCAUGAAGUUGAUGCUAUGGGGAACACCCUCAGUGUAUCAGGUGUCUGAAUAUGUGUAACAAACACCAAUUUAUUGGCCGACAGCAGUCACAAGUGGAGCGCCCGUGAGUAUAAGAGGCCACCUGCAAGACACGUCAUCAACAUUUUUGUCUUCAGGAGCCGCUUUGUUUGUAUGCUUGUGUAAGACGAAAAUCUGGAAAAUUGGAGCAAUGCAUUCACUGUAAGAGCUUUUGUUCUUGCUUGAUUCUUUCUUGAGGGAUAUAUCCCUCUCUGGGGGCCAUGAGGAUUGAAGGAGUAAUAUUAGCAGAGAUAGAAGAAACAUUUCUUUGCCCUACCCCCAACCAUGGGGGUGGAAACACAUUAAACCUUGCCAAGCAUCUGUUGCUUGACCAUCCUGACUUGUACAGGGCAUUAAGAGAUCAACAGGUGAGUGCAUCAUUCAAAUGAUCAAAAUAAUUUUUUCGUUUACUUUUAACACUGAUCAAUGCACAUACAUAAACGAUUGAAUCAUUUAAAUAACAGGAAAGAUCCAGGGUGCGUUUGACACGCUAGAACCAAUGAUACCUGAAGGGCUAAUUACUAAGGUUUUUAACACUUUGCAUGCUCUCUUUCUUAAACUGCUCUUAAGAUAACCCUUGGGGUAGAGCAGGAUGAACGGAAUUGUGUUAGGUACUCAAUUUCAUUCAAUUCUCACAAACUCACAAAAUUACCUUAGUUUCGUUUGUCCCCUCCUCAACUAUGGUUGAGUCGGGCCAUAUGCUCCCCUAUUGCUGGGUGUUGUGCAAAAUCUCUUGUUGAUUCAUGCUUGGAGAACCUGGCAAGUCAAGGCAGUUUGCCUGGUGGCCUCCCUACUUGUUAUGGUAGCACUCUAUAAUCAGAUGAGUGCAUGGAGUCUUCUUGUGGUUCCUGAAGAAGAACUUUGCUCAAGUACGGAUGAGAGCUCUUCUCUAUGACUCUGGGGUAAGAGAGCCUAAGCUCCCCUGUGGUUUCCCUAGGGGUUGAGUUGCAAUGGCAAGAUUUUAUGGCUUUUAUUCUAUGACACCCUCAUAUUUGCAUCCCUUCAGAUGAAGUGAAGGUUAUAUUCUCCCCCUUUGGAAGUACUGGUAAAUCGAAGGUUGUAGUUGAAUUACUCCCUAAGGCCUUUGUCAAAGUAUUGACAUAGCUAGCACUUUAUUAGAGCUUUUGCUCUUGGGGACUUUUAGGCUUUUUGCCUGCCUUGCAAGGGAGGGAGGAAGGUUGUAAAGGCAGGGACUUCCCUUGCAAUAGAGCAUAGAAGCUUGGAUAACUUCUCUUGCUAUUAGAGAAAAACAUUGGGCUUAGGUAGUGGCUCCACUUAGCUGUCGCAAUUUCAGUAUCAAUGAGUCGCAAUUUGCGCCCUGAGGGUAGACGCACUCUGACUUCUGCUAAGUGAUCUGUAGAGUCAAUCUAUGCUAUGCCCACUAUGUUUGUGCAUAUCCACAGCUUAGUGAGGCAGGGAUCCCCUAAGCAUAGCCUAGUGGGUAUUGGUUUCCCAUAGCGUCAACUCACAGCGUUGAAGUUCCACUUCAAAAGGGAACGUCUAGGUUACAUAUGUAAACCUAGUUCCGUGAAAAGGGGAAUGAGAUGCUGCGUCCCAUUGCCAUGCAUUGGGUUUGUCUGCAUGUCUGCAGAAAGAAAAACGUGUGACUACAUUGCAUUUGCAGUGGAAACACUAUUCAGUAAAGCACCACCUUCUCAACUAAGUAACCGUUAAUGGACACCUUUUGAGGAAGCGCAUCAAGUGUGUUUUGUUGUAUCAAAACAUGGAUGACAAUCGAAAUCUGAGUUGCUCACUUUACACUUUACAAUUUAAAUUCGUCUCCUUUUGCGUUCGUUCAGAAUAUGGCUUUGUCCAUUCAGUCAUAUUUGUUUCACUCCUGUGAAUGUGAUGUAGGUUAUGACAAAAUAAGUAGGGGUCUUAACAAAAUCCAAUCACAAGGAAUCCCGGGAAAUGCAUGUUAAUACCAGGUGGAAAUGGCACAUCUCAGCAGAGCGCUUGUGAUCAGAUCACCAACAACCUCGUCUAAUACCAUGGCCUAAGCUUGUGUAAAGAAUAGUUAUGAAUAAUCAUGUUAUAAUCAUAGAAUGAUUAAUAAAUUAUAUGCAUUUAUAAUAAUAAACGUAUAGCUUUAAACACUAAACGCAACUUGGUAAACGUGUUAUGAUGUGGAACUUUCAGUUUUUGUCAACUGGAAUGGAUUACAUUUCGUAUGAUGGUUUAUAGAACUUUUUCAUUACAAACUCACAAAAUGUAGUGGUCUUCUAGUUGUCUUUAAUGCACAAUAUACAUCUGCACUAGCAAAAAUAAUGUAUAACAAUGGUUAAUCUAAAAGAUAAUAACAUCAACAGAUAAGCUUGCUUGGACAACAUUUCACAUUGGUCAAAAACUGCACACACAGCUCUGAGAAAAUCAUAAUCAGUCCAAGCUGUAGAAGGGUACUGUGUAGGUGGAUAAGUGCUAUGAGAUUACAAUUCCCCUUCCACCCCUUUUUUCCAUGGAGGUUACAGAAACCGGACGGCUUCUUCUAAGACACACCCAAUUAACCUACAGAGAUGAGGACAGGCCCUGGAACCCCCUACGUGCCUUCAUUUAUUAUACGCCCUCGUAGCAGAGACUUGCACGUUGCUGUGUGGGUGUAUUGUGAAUUCUGGCAGUCAGUGUGUGACCCUUUUUCUGUGUCUAGAGUUCUCUGGGGUUCAGGAUGAAGUGUUUGACCUGGACAGCUGUGAGAAUGGAGCAAUGGUUGGAAAUCAUUAUUACCAGCAGUCACAAACCCUUUCGAAUGUGUUUUGAAAUGUUUCUGUAUUUAAUUAUAAAUGUGAACCCACAAAGAACCAACAGAUUGGAGAAUUCAUAUGUUGCAAAAGGCAUGUCUGAAUGUUUAGGUCAUAAAUCUAAACUCAAACUCUUAUAUUUCUUUCAAGUGCUUUAAUAAACACAGAAUGCUACUGUUGUUGUGUUGGUUAUUAAUGUGGUCUCUUUGUGCACAGGUAAACUGCUCAGAUCUGGACCAGGGCAUCACUGAGCUCCUGGACAGUCUGAGGUGCAACCUGGUGGCAUCGGAUGGACCAAAACAUAAUGUCCCAGAGGUGUUUUAUUGGAUUUAGGUCAGGUGAGCGUGGGGGCCAUUCAAUGGUAUCAAUUCCUUCAUCCUCCAGGAACUGCCUGCACACUCUCGCCACAUGAGGCCGGGCAUUGUCAUGCACCAGGUGGAACCCAGGACCCACUGCACCAGCGUAGGGUCUGACAAUGGGUCCAAGGAUUUCAUCCCGAUACCUAAUGGCAGUCAGGGUGCCAUUGUCUAGCCUGCAGAGGUCUGUGCGUCCAUCCAUGGAUAUGCCUCCCCAGACCAUCACUGACCCACCACCAAACCGGUCAUGCUGAACAAUGUUACAGGCAGCAUAACGUACUCCACGGCUUCUCCAGACCCUUUCAUGUCCGUCACAUGCUCAGGGUGAACCUGCUUUCAUCUGUGAAAAGCACAGGGCACCAGUGGCGGACCUGCCAAUUCUGGUGUUCAAUGGCAAAUGCCAAUCGAGCUCCACGGUGCCGGGCAGUGAUCACAGGGCCCACUAGAGGACGUCGGGCCCUCAGGCCACCCUCAUGAAGUCUGUUUCUGAUUGUUUGGUCAGAGACAUUCACACCAGUGGCCUACUGGAGGUCAUUUUGUAGGGCUCAUCCUGUUCCUCCUUGCACAAAGGAGCAGAUACCAGUCCUGCUGAUGGGUUAAGGACCUUCUACGGCCCUGUCCAGCUCUCCUAGAGUAACUGCCUGUCUCUUGGAAUCUCCUCCAUGCUCUUGAGUCUGUGCUGGGAGACACAGCAAACCUUCUAGCAAUGGGACGUAUUGAUGUGCCAUCCUGGAGGAGUUGGACUGCCUGUGCAACCUCUGUAGGGUCCAGGUGACGCCUCAUGCUACCAGUAAUGACACUGACCCUAGCCAAAUGCAAAACUAGUGAAAAACAGUCAGAAAAGAUAAGUAGGGAAAAAAUGUCACCUGUAAAACCAUUCCUGUUUUGGGGGUUGUCUCAUUGUUGCCCAUCUAGUGCACCUGUUGUUAAUUUCAUUAACACCAAAGCAGCUGAAACUGAUUAACAACCCCCUCUGUUACUUAACUGACCAGAUCAAUAUCCCAGGAGUUUAACUGACUUGAUGCUAUUCUCUGAUUAAAAAGUGUUCCUUUCAUUUUUUUGAGCAGUGUAUAUGUGACUCUAUAACGCCUGUUUGCAUAAAAAUCUCCAAAUCACACUCUGUCUGUCAAAUGGCUCAUUAUGGUGUACACAAGACAGUCAAUUUGAGCCCACAGCCUAAAUGACAUGAAUCAGAGACAGGGAUUUUGCAAUAGUCUAUUCAGAGCUGGUUUUGUAUACAAACAUGCACAAGUCAAGAUGUCAGUUGCAAGCUUGCAAUAAACCCCAUAAGUUAAGAAAA
Long non-coding RNA from Ctenopharyngodon idella (grass carp), 5746 nucleotides. RefSeq lists it as uncharacterized. The transcript is spliced from 3 exons. NCBI's taxonomy places the organism in Eukaryota, Metazoa, Chordata, Actinopteri, Cypriniformes, Xenocyprididae. The record is from RefSeq and is a predicted model, not a curated record.